AGUGAACGCUGGCGGUAGGCCUAACACAUGCAAGUCGAACGGCAGCACAGUAAGAGCUUGCUCUUACGGGUGGCGAGUGGCGGACGGGUGAGGAAUACAUCGGAAUCUACUUUUUCGUGGGGGAUAACGUAGGGAAACUUACGCUAAUACCGCAUACGACCUACGGGUGAAAGCAGGGGAUCUUCGGACCUUGCGCGAUUGAAUGAGCCGAUGUCGGAUUAGCUAGUUGGCGGGGUAAAGGCCCACCAAGGCGACGAUCCGUAGCUGGUCUGAGAGGAUGGUCAGCCACACUGGAACUGAGACACGGUCCAGACUCCUACGGGAGGCAGCAGUGGGGAAUAUUGGACAAUGGGCGCAAGCCUGAUCCAGCCAUACCGCGUGGGUGAAGAAGGCCUUCGGGUUGUGAAGCCCUUUUGUUGGGAAAGAAAAGCAGCAGGUUAAUACCCCGCUGUUCUGACGGUACCCAAAGAAUAAGCACCGGCUAACUUCGUG
This 492-nucleotide ribosomal RNA is filed under the name uncultured bacterium. Its description in RNAcentral is "partial 16S ribosomal RNA". It matches the Rfam family "Bacterial small subunit ribosomal RNA", at positions 29 to 507 of the family's 1533-position model. The record is from RNAcentral.